GCGCACCAGGCGCGAAUUUUUCUCAAUGGGCGAAAGCCUGAAGGAGCGACGCCGCGUGGGGGAUGAAGGGUUUCGAUCCGUAAACCCCUGUCAUUUGCGAACAAACCUUAGCAAUUUAAAAGAUGUUGAGCUGAUUGUAGUGAAAGAGGAAGGGACGGCUAACUCUGUGCCCAGCAAGCCGCGGUAAUACAGAGGUCCCAAAGCGUUGUUCGGAUUCACUGGGCGUAAAGGGUGCGUAGGUGGCUUGGUAAGUUUGAUGUGAAAUCUCCGGGCUUAACCCGGAAAUGGCAUUGAAUACUAUUGAGCUGGAGGUUUGGAGGGGGACUGGAAUUCUCGGUGUAGCAGUGAAAUGCGUAGAUAUCGAGAGGAACACCAGUGGCGAAGGCGAGUCCCUGGACAACACCUGACACUGAGGCACGAAAGCUAGGGGAGCAAACAGGAUUAGAUACCCGGGUAGU
Molecule: ribosomal RNA, 458 nt
Filed under: uncultured organism
Description: bacterial SSU rRNA
Rfam family: Bacterial small subunit ribosomal RNA
Source: RNAcentral